UACGUAGGGGGCAAGCGUUAUCCGGAAUUACUGGGUGUAAAGGGUGAGUAGGCGGCAUGGUAAGCCAGAUGUGAAAGCCUUGGGCUUAACCCGAGGAUUGCAUUUGGAACUAUCAAGCUAGAGUACAGGAGAGGAAAGCGGAAUUCCUAGUGUAGCGGUGAAAUGCGUAGAUAUAUGGAGGAACACCGGUGGCGAAAGCGGCUCUCUGGCCUGUAACUGACACUGAGGCUCGAAAGCGUGGGGAGCAAACAGG
RNAcentral lists this ribosomal RNA (253 nucleotides) under uncultured bacterium. RNAcentral's name for it is "partial 16S ribosomal RNA". It matches the Rfam family "Bacterial small subunit ribosomal RNA", at positions 524 to 776 of the family's 1533-position model. The record is from RNAcentral.